GACGAACGCUGGCGGCGUGCUUAACACAUGCAAGUCCAACGGAAAGGCCCUGCUUUUGUGGGGUGCUCCAGUGGCCAACGGGUGAGUAACACCUGAGUAACCUGCCCUUGACUUUGGGAUAACUUCCGGAAACUGGGGCUAAUACCGGAUAGGAGCUCCUGCUGCAUGGUGGGGGUUGGAAAGUUUCGGCGGUUGGGGAUGGACUCGCGGCUUAUCAGCUUGUUGGUGGGGUAGUGGCUUACCAAGGCUUUGACGGGUAGCCGGCCUGAGAGGGUGACCGGCCACAUUGGGACUGAGAUACGGCCCAGACUCCUACGGGAGGCAGCAGUGGGGAAUAUUGCACAAUGGGCGGAAGCCUGAUGCAGCAACGCCGCGUGCGGGAUGACGGCCUUCGGGUUGUAAACCGCUUUCGCCUGUGACGAAGCGUGAGUGACGGUAAUGAGUAAAGAAGCACCGGCUAACUACGUGCCAGCAGCCGCGGUGAUACGUAGGGUGCGAGCGUUGUCCGGAUUUAUUGGGCGUAAAGGGCUCGUAGGUGGUUGAUCGCGUCGGAAGUGUAAUCUUGGGGCUUAACCCUGAGCGUGCUUUCGAUACGGGUUGACUUGAGGAAGGUAGGGGAGAAUGGAAUUCCUGGUGGAGCGGUGGAAUGCGCAGAUAUCAGGAGGAACACCAGUGGCGAAGGCGGUUCUCUGGGCCUUUCCUGACGCUGAGGAGCGAAAGCGUGGGGAGCGAACAGGCUUAGAUACCCUGGUAGUCCACGCUGUAAACGGUGGGUACUAGGUGUGGGGUCCAUUCCACGGGUUCCGUGCCGUAGCUAACGCUUUAAGUACCCCGCCUGGGGAGUACGGCCGCAAGGCUAAAACUCAAAGGAAUUGACGGGGCCCCGCACAAGCGGCGGAGCAUGCGGAUUAAUUCGAUGCAACGCGUAGAACCUUACCUGGGUUUGACAUGGAUCGGGAGUGCUCAGAGAUGGGUGUGCCUCUUUUGGGGUCGGUUCACAGGUGGUGCAUGGCUGUCGUCAGCUCGUGUCGUGAGAUGUUGGGUUAAGUCCCGCAACGAGCGCAACCCUUGUUCACUGUUGCCAGCACGUUAUGGUGGGGACUCAGUGGAGACCGCCGGGGUCAACUCGGAGGAAGGUGGGGAUGACGUCAAGUCAUCAUGCCCCUUAUGUCCAGGGCUUCACGCAUGCUACAAUGGCUGGUACAGAGAGUGGCGAGCCUGUGAGGGUGAGCGAAUCUCGGAAAGCCGGUCUCAGUUCGGAUUGGGGUCUGCAACUCGACCUCAUGAAGUCGGAGUCGCUAGUAAUCGCAGAUCAGCAACGCUGCGGUGAAUACGUUUCCGGGGCU
RNAcentral lists this ribosomal RNA (1346 nucleotides) under uncultured bacterium. Its description in RNAcentral is "partial 16S ribosomal RNA". It matches the Rfam family "Bacterial small subunit ribosomal RNA", at positions 28 to 1381 of the family's 1533-position model. The record is from RNAcentral.